AGAGUUUGAUCCUGGCUCAGAUUGAACGCUGGCGGCGUGCCUAACACAUGCAAGUCGAGCGGUAACGCGGGAGCAAUCCUGGCGACGAGCGGCGAACGGGUGAGUAAUGCUUCGGAAUCUACCCAGUAGUGGGGAAUAACCAGCCGAAAGGUUGGCUAAUACCGCAUACGUCCUACGGGGGAAAGCAGGGGAUCGUAAGACCUUGCGCUAUUGGAUGAGCCGAAGUCGGAUUAGCUAGUUGGUAGGGUAACGGCCUACCAAGGCGACAAUCCGUAGCUGGUCUGAGAGGACGACCAGCCACACUGGGACUGAGACACGGCCCAGACUCCUACGGGAGGCAGCAGUGGGGAAUAUUGGACAAUGGGGGCAACCCUGAUCCAGCGACGCCGCGUGUGUGAAGAAGGCCUGCGGGUUGUAAAGCACUUUUAGUGGGGAUGAAAAGCCCAGGGAUAACACCUCUGGGUCUUGACCUAACCCACAGAAAAAGCACCGGCUAACUCUGUGCCAGCAGCCGCGGUAAUACAGAGGGUGCAAGCGUUAAUCGGAAUUACUGGGCGUAAAGCGUGCGUAGGCGGUUUCGUAAGUCGGGUGUGAAAGCCCCGGGCUCAACCUGGGAAUUGCAUUCGAGACUGCGAAGCUAGGGUGCGGAAGAGGGAAGCGGAAUUUCCGGUAGCGGUGAAAUGCGUAGAUAUCGGAAGGAACAUCAGUGGCGAAAGCGGCUUCCUGGUCCAGCGCCGACGCUCAGGCACGAAAGCGUGGGGAGCAAACAGGAUUAGAUACCCUAGUAGUCC
Molecule: ribosomal RNA, 791 nt
Filed under: uncultured bacterium
Lineage: Bacteria
Description: bacterial SSU rRNA
Rfam family: Bacterial small subunit ribosomal RNA
Source: RNAcentral